Molecule: ribosomal RNA, 2887 nt
Filed under: Salinivibrio kushneri
Lineage: Bacteria; Pseudomonadati; Pseudomonadota; Gammaproteobacteria; Vibrionales; Vibrionaceae
Description: 23S ribosomal RNA
Rfam family: Bacterial large subunit ribosomal RNA
Source: RNAcentral
GGUUAAGUGACUAAGCGUAGACGGUGGAUGCCUUGGCAGUCAGAGGCGAUGAAGGACGUACUAACCUGCGAAAAGCGAUGGUGAGCUGGUAAGAAGCAUUUGAGCCAUCGAUGUCCGAAUGGGGAAACCCACCUGCAUAAGCAGGUAUCUUAGCGUGAAUACAUAGCGCUAAGAGGCGAACUCGGGGAACUGAAACAUCUAAGUACCCGAAGGAAAAGAAAUCAAUUGAGAUUCCGGCAGUAGCGGCGAGCGAACCCGGAGCAGCCCUUAAGCGGCUUAGGCGUUAGGUGAACAGGUUGGAAAGCCUGGCAAUAAAGGGUGAUAGCCCCGUAACCGACGGCGCCUUAGACGUGAAAACGAGUAGGACGGGACACGUGAUAUCUUGUCUGAACAUGGGGGGACCAUCCUCCAAGGCUAAAUACUCCUGACUGACCGAUAGUGAACCAGUACCGUGAGGGAAAGGCGAAAAGAACCCCUGUGAGGGGAGUGAAAUAGAACCUGAAACCGUCUACGUACAAGCAGUGGGAGCCUCCUAGUGGGGUGACCGCGUACCUUUUGUAUAAUGGGUCAGCGACUUAAUGUAAGUAGCAAGGUUAACCGCAUAGGGGAGCCGUAGGGAAACCGAGUCUUAACUGGGCGUCGAGUUGCUUGCAUUAGACCCGAAACCGAGUGAUCUAGCCAUGGGCAGGUUGAAGGUUGAGUAACAUCAACUGGAGGACCGAACUCACUAACGUUGAAAAGUUAGGAGAUGACCUGUGGCUAGGGGUGAAAGGCCAAUCAAACUCGGAGAUAGCUGGUUCUCCCCGAAAGCUAUUUAGGUAGCGCCUCGGACGAAUACUACUGGGGGUAGAGCACUGUUAAGGCUAGGGGGUCAUCCCGACUUACCAACCCUUUGCAAACUCCGAAUACCAGUAAGUACUAUCCGGGAGACACACGGCGGGUGCUAACGUCCGUCGUGGAGAGGGAAACAACCCAGACCGCCAGCUAAGGUCCCAAAGUUAUCGCUAAGUGGGAAACGAUGUGGGAAGGCUCAGACAGCCAGGAUGUUGGCUUAGAAGCAGCCAUCAUUUAAAGAAAGCGUAAUAGCUCACUGGUCGAGUCGGCCUGCGCGGAAGAUGUAACGGGGCUAAGCGAUACACCGAAGCUGCGGCAAUGUCCUUAUGGAUAUUGGGUAGGGGAGCGUUGUGUAAGCUGUUGAAGGUGAGCUGAGAGGCUUGCUGGAGGUAUCACAAGUGCGAAUGCUGACAUGAGUAACGAUAAAGGGGGUGAAAAACCUCCUCGCCGGAAGACCAAGGGUUCCUGUCCAACGUUAAUCGGGGCAGGGUAAGUCGGCCCCUAAGGCGAGGCCGAAAGGCGUAGUCGAUGGGAAACGGGUUAAUAUUCCCGUACUGCUACUUACUGCGAUGGGGGGACGGAGAAGGCUAGGUGGGCCUGGCGAUGGUUGUCCAGGUUCAAGUGCGUAGGCUGAUUUCUUAGGCAAAUCCGGGAAAUCAAGGCCGAGACACGAUGUCGAGCCACCAAGGUGGUGAAGUCAUUGAUGCCAUGCUUCCGGGAAAAGCCUCUAAGCUUCAGGUAAGUAGCAACCGUACUCCAAACCGACACAGGUGGUCGGGUAGAGAAUACCAAGGCGCUUGAGAGAACUCGGGUGAAGGAACUAGGCAAAAUGGUACCGUAACUUCGGGAGAAGGUACGCUGCCCGCGGUGAAGUCCCUUGCGGAUGGAGCUAUGGGCAGUCGCAGAUACCAGGUGGCUGCAACUGUUUAUUAAAAACACAGCACUGUGCAAAAUCGAAAGAUGACGUAUACGGUGUGACGCCUGCCCGGUGCCGGAAGGUUAAUUGAUGUGGUUAUCGCAAGAGAAGCCAUUGAUUGAAGCCCCGGUAAACGGCGGCCGUAACUAUAACGGUCCUAAGGUAGCGAAAUUCCUUGUCGGGUAAGUUCCGACCUGCACGAAUGGCGUAAUGAUGGCCACGCUGUCUCCACCCGAGACUCAGUGAAAUUGAAAUCGCAGUGAAGAUGCUGUGUACCCGCGGCUAGACGGAAAGACCCCGUGAACCUUUACUACAGCUUGGCACUGAACAUUGAGCCUACAUGUGUAGGAUAGGUGGGAGGCUUUGAAGCGGCGACGCCAGUUGCUGUGGAGCCAUCCUUGAAAUACCACCCUUGUAUGUUUGAUGUUCUAACUUAGCCCCGUUAUCCGGGGUGAGGACAGUGCCUGGUGGGUAGUUUGACUGGGGCGGUCUCCUCCCAAAGCGUAACGGAGGAGCACGAAGGUGGGCUAAUCACGGUCGGACAUCGUGAGGUUAGUGCAAUGGCAUAAGCCCGCUUAACUGCGAGAGUGACGGCUCGAGCAGGUACGAAAGUAGGUCAUAGUGAUCCGGUGGUUCUGAAUGGAAGGGCCAUCGCUCAACGGAUAAAAGGUACUCCGGGGAUAACAGGCUGAUACCGCCCAAGAGUUCAUAUCGACGGCGGUGUUUGGCACCUCGAUGUCGGCUCAUCACAUCCUGGGGCUGAAGUCGGUCCCAAGGGUAUGGCUGUUCGCCAUUUAAAGUGGUACGCGAGCUGGGUUUAGAACGUCGUGAGACAGUUCGGUCCCUAUCUGCCGUGGGCGUUGGAUGAUUGAGGGGAGCUGCUCCUAGUACGAGAGGACCGGAGUGGACGAACCGCUGGUGUUCGGGUUGUGUCGCCAGACGCAUUGCCCGGUAGCUAAGUUCGGCACAGAUAAGCGCUGAAAGCAUCUAAGCGCGAAGCUGGCCCCGAGAUGAGUCAUCCCUAGAGCUUCGAGCUCUCUAAAGGGUUGUCGUAGACGACGACGUUGAUAGGCAGGGUGUGUAAGCGCUGUGAGGCGUUGAGCUAACCUGUACUAAUUGCCCGUGAGGCUUAACCAU